AGCAGUAGCCGCGGGAAAACGGAGGGUGCAAGCGUUAUCCGGAUUUAUUGGGUUUAAAGGGUCCGUAGGCGGACUUAUAAGUCAGUGGUGAAAGCCUGUCGCUUAACGAUAGAACUGCCAUUGAUACUGUAAGUCUUGAGUAUAUUUGAGGUAGCUGGAAUAAGUAGUGUAGCGGUGAAAUGCAUAGAUAUUACUUAGAACACCAAUUGCGAAGGCAGGUUACCAAGAUAUAACUGACGCUGAGGGACGAAAGCGUGGGUAGCGAACAGGAUUAGAUACCCCUGUAGUCCUGUCUCUUAUACA
RNAcentral lists this ribosomal RNA (303 nucleotides) under uncultured bacterium. RNAcentral's name for it is "partial 16S ribosomal RNA". It matches the Rfam family "Bacterial small subunit ribosomal RNA", at positions 507 to 809 of the family's 1533-position model. The record is from RNAcentral.